GCGCCCGUAGCUCAGUUGGAUAGAGCAACGGCCUUCUAAGCCGUGGGUCGCAGGUUCGAAUCCUGCCGGGCGUGCCA
Molecule: transfer RNA, 77 nt
Filed under: Marichromatium bheemlicum
Lineage: Bacteria; Pseudomonadati; Pseudomonadota; Gammaproteobacteria; Chromatiales; Chromatiaceae
Also listed under: 13 other names
Description: tRNA-Arg
Rfam family: tRNA
About the family: Transfer RNA (tRNA) molecules are approximately 80 nucleotides in length. Their secondary structure includes four short double-helical elements and three loops (D, anti-codon, and T loops).
Source: RNAcentral